GUCUAUGGCCAUACCACCCUGAACAUGCCUGGUGUUGUCACAUCUUGGAAGCUAAGCAGGGUCAGGCCUGGUUAGUACUUGGAUGGGAGAAAUUAGGAGCUUCUCAUUCAGUUCCCAGUGCUACUGUCU
This is a non-coding RNA of Erinaceus europaeus (western European hedgehog), 129 nucleotides long. NCBI's taxonomy places the organism in Eukaryota, Metazoa, Chordata, Mammalia, Eulipotyphla, Erinaceidae. The record is from Rfam.